CUCCUACGGGAGGCAGCAGUGGGGAAUUUUGGACAAUGGGSGAAAGCCUGAUCCAGCAAUGCCGCGUGCAGGAUGAAGGCCUUCGGGUUGUAAACUGCUUUUGUACGGAACGAAAAAGCUUCUCCUAAUACGAGAGGCCCAUGACGGUACCGUAAGAAUAAGCACCGGCUAACUCGUGCCAGCAGCCGCGGUAAUAC
This 197-nucleotide ribosomal RNA is filed under the name uncultured Delftia sp. Its description in RNAcentral is "partial 16S ribosomal RNA". It matches the Rfam family "Bacterial small subunit ribosomal RNA", at positions 336 to 526 of the family's 1533-position model. The record is from RNAcentral. Lineage: Bacteria; Pseudomonadati; Pseudomonadota; Betaproteobacteria; Burkholderiales; Comamonadaceae.